RNAcentral lists this long non-coding RNA (212 nucleotides) under Homo sapiens (human). RNAcentral's name for it is "HSALNT0207264". Lineage: Eukaryota; Metazoa; Chordata; Mammalia; Primates; Hominidae. The record is from RNAcentral.
GGAGGAGGAGACUCGGGAGGAGCAGAGCGCAGGCUCCGCCGCGGCCGGGGUGCUCCAGCCGAGCCCAACCGAGCGGGCGGACCGACGGGGAGAGAGAAGGCGCCAGAGCGCGCGCGCGCGGCCCCGAGCAGCAGCCUUGCCGCCAGUGGAGCAGCUGCCGACGCGCGGGGCCGCGGACCCAGCAUUCGCCGGCCGGGCCGGGCAUGAGCGCG